AUUGAACGCUGGCGGCAGGCUUAACACAUGCAAGUCGAGCGGAGUGAUGGUGCUUGCACUAUCACUUAGCGGCGGACGGGUGAGUAAUGCUUAGGAAUCUGCCUAUUAGUGGGGGACAACAUCUCGAAAGGGAUGCUAAUACCGCAUACGUCCUACGGAAGAAAGCAGGGGAUCACUUGUGACCUUGCGCUAAUAGAUGAGCCUAAGUCGGAUCAGCUAGUUGGUGGGGUAAAGGCCUACCAAGGCGACGAUCUGUAGCGGGUCUGAGAGGAUGAUCAGCCACACUGGGACUGAGACACGGCCAGACUCCUACGGGAGGCAGCAGUGGGGAAUAUUGGACAAUGGGGGGAACCCUGAUCCAGCCAUGCCGCGUGUGUGAAGAAGGCCUUAUGGUUGUAAAGCACUUUAAGCGAGGAGGAGGCUCUUUUGGUUAAUACCCAAGAUGAGUGGACGUUACUCGCAGAAUAAGCACCGGCUAACUCUGUGCCAGCCGCCGCGGUAA
RNAcentral lists this ribosomal RNA (502 nucleotides) under uncultured bacterium. RNAcentral's name for it is "partial 16S ribosomal RNA". It matches the Rfam family "Bacterial small subunit ribosomal RNA", at positions 30 to 523 of the family's 1533-position model. The record is from RNAcentral.